AUUCCAGCACCCUCCUCUAACUCCAGGCCAGACUCCUUUCAGUUAGUGGGGAGCUCUAGAUGGCACCUACUUUGUUUCACUAUUCCCUAGUGCCCAUGGAUGACUUUCUGAAGCAUGAGAGCAAGGAGCGCUGUAAGCUUCCAGUGGGGACAGGAGUUGUGGUGCUCCUGGUCAUAGUGGCUGUGGCUCUGGGGGUGCUCCUGAUUGUCUAUGUCAAAAAGGCCAACAGCGAGGCCUGCCAAGAGGGCCACCGGGCAGUGAUGGAGUGUCGAAAUGUCACCCAUCUCCUGGAACAAGAGCUGACCCGGGCCCAGGAUGGCUUCCGGGAUGCUGAGGCCCAGAUCGCCACCUACAACCAGACUGUGAUGACCCUAAUGGCUUCCCUGGAUAAGGAGAAGGCUCAUUCCCUGGAUGCGGAGAAGAAAGUGGAGGAGCUUGAGGGAGAGAUCACCACAUUGAACCAGAAGCUUCAGGACGCCUCUAUGGAGGUGGAGCGACUGAGGUCAGAGAUAACCUCUCCCUCUGCUGCCCUCCACCCGCCACAGCCCUCUCAGCCCCGCGUUCCUACCCGGGGACCGAGGAUCUCCUUGGCUCCCAAAAUCCCCAUUGCCCCAGGGGGAGGAAAAACCAGGACUUAAGCGCGAGAAUCGCGGACCAGAAGAACUCCGCCAGCUCCCUGAAGGACACCAGCUCCGCGGCGGCGCCUCUGCUCCUGAUUCUGCUGCUGGGCCUCAGCGCUCGGCUCCUCUGAGAUCCCGGGAAGCCGGCGCAGCUUCGAAGGGCCGGUUCCCGCUCAGCUUUUCGCUUGGACAAUCCCGUGAUCUCAUCGGUUCUGGGAGGGUCAUGGGGCAGCAGGUCUGGAGGGGCCAUGGGGCAGUGCUGGGUGUAGGGACCCAGAGUUGCCUCCCUCCAGAGCCGGGCAGGGAAUGAUUGUCUCCUCUUGUCUCCCGCCCUGAGUUUGGGCAUGGGGUGCCGUAGGGUGGCAACUGCUGCCUGGUACGGUUUUUUUUUGGGGGGGGUGCUUUUUUCUGGAGUCUUUGAGCUUCAAAAAUAAACGCUUCCUUUCGGGGGGGGGCACACCUUA
Callithrix jacchus (white-tufted-ear marmoset) is the source of this 1084-nucleotide RNA transcript. It is a transcript of the gene named bone marrow stromal cell antigen 2, with no coding region annotated. The record is from RefSeq and is a predicted model, not a curated record. NCBI's taxonomy places the organism in Eukaryota, Metazoa, Chordata, Mammalia, Primates, Cebidae.